Molecule: ribosomal RNA, 497 nt
Filed under: uncultured bacterium
Lineage: Bacteria
Description: partial 16S ribosomal RNA
Rfam family: Bacterial small subunit ribosomal RNA
Source: RNAcentral
GAUGAACGCUGGCGGCGUGCCUAAUACAUGCAAGUCGAGCGAACGGACGAGAAGCUUGCUUCUCUGAUGUUAGCGGCGGACGUGAGAGUAACACGUGGAUAACCUACCUAUAAGACUGGGAUAACUUCGUGAAACCGGAGCUAAUACCGUAUAAUAUUUUGAACCGGAGGGUUCAAAAGUGAAAGACGGUCUGGCUGUCACUUAUAGAUGGAUCCGCGCUGCAUUGGCUAGUGGGUAGGGUAACGGCCUACCAAGGCAACGAUGCGUAGCCGACCUGAGAGAGUGGUAGGCGACCCUAGAGCUUGACCGCGGUCCAGGCUCCUGCGAGACGCAGCAGUAGGGAACGGGACGCAAUGGGCGAGAGCCUGACGGAGCGAGGGCGCGUGAGUGAUGAAGGUCUUCGGUGCGUAAAGCUCUGUUAUUAGGGAAGAACAGAUGUGUAAGUAACUGUGGACAUCUUGACGGUACCUAAUAAGAAAGCAACGGCUAACUACGUG